GCGGGCAGUUAACGAGGUGGAGGCAGGAAGCAGUGGUUAUCGAGGUGGAGGCAGGAAGCAGUGGUUAACGAGGUUGAGGCAGGUAGUGGGCGUUAACGAGGUGGAGGCAGGUAGUGGGCGUUAACGAGGUGGAGGCAGGUAGUGGGCGUUAACGAGGUGGAGGCAGGUAGUGGGCGUUAACGAGGUGGAGGCAGGUAGUGGGCGUUAACGAGGUGGAGACAGGAAGUGGGCGUUAACGAGGUGGAGGCAGGUAGUGGGCGUUAACGAGGUGGAGGCAGGUAGUGGGCGUUAACGAGGUGGAGGCAGGUAGUGGGCGUUAACGAGGUGGAGGCAGGUAGUGGGCGUUAACGAGGUGGAGGCAGGUAGUGGGCGUUAACGAGGUGGAGGCAGGUAGUGGGCGUUAACGAGGUGGAGGCAGGUAGUGGGCGUUAACGAGGUGGAGGCAGGUAGUGGGCGUUAACGAGGUGGAGACAGGAAGUGGGCGUUAACGAGGUGGAGGCAGGUAGUGGGCGUUAACGAGGUGGAGGCAGGUAGUGGGCGUUAACGAGGUGGAGGCAGGUAGUGGGCGUUAACGAGGUGGAGGCAGGUAGUGGGCGUUAACGAGGUGGAGGCAGGUAGUGGGCGUUAACGAGGUGGAGGCAGGUAGUGGGCGUUAACGAGGUGGAGACAGGAAGUGGGCGUUAACGAGGUGGAGGCAGGUAGUGGGCGUUAACGAGGUGAAGGCAGGUAGUGGGCGUUAACGAGGUGGAGGCAGGUAGUGGGCGUUAACGAGGUGAAGGCAGGAAGCGGGCGGUAUCGAGAUGGAGGCAGACGGGUGGAGGCAGACGGGUGGAGGCAGACGGGUGGAGGCGGACGGGUGGAGGCGGACGGGUGG
Long non-coding RNA from Gadus morhua (Atlantic cod), 874 nucleotides. RefSeq lists it as uncharacterized. The transcript has 3 exons. The record is from RefSeq and is a predicted model, not a curated record. Lineage: Eukaryota; Metazoa; Chordata; Actinopteri; Gadiformes; Gadidae.